ACACAUUUUACCUUUGUAUUUUCUUCAGUAUCACUCUAGAGAGCCUCUCAGAGCUAUGUCCCAGUUUCUGAUGCAGGCAGCUGGGGAGGAGAAGGGGGAAGCACAGCUGUCAUGCAGGCGUUGUACACUGAUGAUGGACCUGACCAGAAGUGAGAAGAGGAUCUCUGCAUUGUUUCCACUGACAGGUUUUGCCUUGUAGCCAGUAAACCUCUCUACAUCCUUCCUCAGCACACUCCACGUGAGCCCCUGUGCACUCCUUGUGCAGUGCUAUGGAGGCUGAACCAGAAAUUAGCCCUGAUCUGCAGGUGAAUGUGUCUUGGGACACAGGUGAGUAGAAGAGGCUGAACUUCCACCAGUGAGUGGACGACAAGGCACAGAAGGAGAAAAGGCUCUUCUAUGGUUAUCAAUGUGAAUGUGGGGUCUGGCCCCAUGUGGGGACCAUCCUGCAGAGACCCCGCUCCCUGGAAAUGUUCAAGGCCAGGUUGGACAGGGCUUGGAGAAACCUUCUCUAGAGGAAGGUGUUCCUGCCCAUGGGAGGGAGUUGGAACAAGAUGGUUUUAAGGUCCCUUCCAACCCAAGUAAUUGUGUGAUUCUAUGAGAACAAUGCUUUUUUGUGCUGUCACUAAGACACAGAUUUAGAGCCUAGCAAGGUUUUGUGUGUGUAUGCUGACAAAAUGGCAUUAGUACUAUCUGAAAAUCAAAGGAAACAGUAUUAGAGUAACAAGGAACCAAGAAAAAAAAAGAGAGAGAGAUACAGUUUGAUCAUAGAAUAAAACUUUAAUUCUUAUAAAGCCCUGAAUGAGACACAGGAAGGGCAAAUAUUUGUUCUGCUGCUGACCUUCUCAGGCAAAUAGCACAUCAGGCCCUGCAGGGCUGGAGGCAUUGUGCUGAGGGGAAGUGAGAAAUCACCAAAAGCCAGAGAGGGCUGUAGAGAACAACUGAUUACUCAGGGGAGACAUGAUGAACUCCCCAAACUCCAGCACAGUGAGAAACCCUUAUCUGGCUGAAUGUGCCCAAAUAACCACCUUGGGUUUUGAGAGAAAGAGCUGUCCCAAGAAGGCCACCUUUCCCUGCUGGUGCUAGCUGCAGGAAAGAAGGUACCACAUGGAUUCCUGGCAUCAGCAGAAGCAGUUUUGGGCAGCCAUGAAAUACUGGGAUGCCCUCAAGUUCUCUGCCCCUGGGUAGAACUUCCUUACCAAAUUGCUUUAAAUCUGGAGUACGACUAUUGGAGAAGUGCUUAAACAGAAACUUAGCAGAUAGGGAAGAUCAGCUUAGUUGAAAAUCACCAGGGAAAUAAAAAACCCUUGAAGAAUAAGAAGCUAUUUUACACAAUUAACAAAACAAUUGCUCUUAGUCAGACAUUCUGUAAACGUUCUAGUGCUUAGAAUGGAAGCAUCUCCCUGGUUUAAUAGUCUUUCUUCCAGUAGGAAAAUGGGUUCAUUUUACCAUUACUUAUUGCUGCUGAAAAGAGAGGAAAUAAUUUCCAGUGUGUGUCUAGAGCUAAAAUUCAAACAUGUUUUCAGCACAUGUGUAAUAUUCUGCAUGUGAGUGGUCCUUAUGUCUCAGAUAGAGAAUAGUGCUUGGUAUUUUGAGCUGAAAAAUGAUCUUGUAAAAAGUUUUGGUAGAAUUUUCCAUUCCAUCACACUAAGAAGCUGAUUUUGGUGAUGUCUCUGUCUCUGAGGGGACAGCACUGCUGUCAAAAAGGGGAAAGGUGCUCACCUGAGCUUGGCACACUGCACAAGCAUAGAAUCACAGAGUGGUUUUGGUUGGGAGGGACCUUAAAGACCAUCUUGUUCCAGCCUCCUGCCAUGGGCAGAGGCACCUUCUACUAGACCAGAUUGCUCAAAGCCCUGUCUAACCUGGCAUUGAACACUUCCAGGGAUGGGACAUCAAAUCAGUCACUUAUUUUACCUACAUUUCCAAAAAGUGAUUUUUUUUUUUUUUUUUAUUCCUACCUGGAAUGUGUGGCUGGGGGGUGACACCAGCCACCAAAGCAGUGGUGGCUCUGAUCUCAGCCCAGCUUGGAGGUUAGGACAGGUUUAAGAUGUAAAGGAGAAAGACCAUAUGAGAGAGGAGCUACAAAUGCCAACACCUGGCUGAUGGGUCAACAGGGUGUUUGUUACUCGUGGCUCUCGGUCUCCUCAUCCUGAGAGCCCGCCUUAGUUCCUUUAUUGGGGGCAGCUGAUCACCUCCAUAAUGAUGCCAUUUGUGACUAAUCUUCCAGGAUUAAAGAUGAACUGUGGCUGCUGCGGGCUUCUACCUUUGCCGCAUAGCAAUGAGAGCAGAAAGUCAAUUAAUUACCUUCUCACUGGAAUCCAGGGGCCCUUUCGUCCUUGGCUCAGCCGAGUGUGUAAUGGAAAAGGGAGAGAGCCGGCUGCAGCUGGCCAGCUGGGAAUUGCAUGACAAAGUGAAAAAUGAGCUCUGGGGAAAAGGAGAGGGAGGGCACUGGGGGGAAAUCCUCAUCCUACAGGUUCAUUAAAAAAAAAGUAAGAUGCUAUCUGUUCUCUUUCUGUACUUUACACUAGAUGAGAGAAAAAACCCUCUCUGUAGUGGUCUGGUCUUCUGCCUGUGUGGUUGAUGCUGAAACCCCCAGGGCUGACUGGACUCCUUAGGUGCCUCUGGACAGGGAACUCACUGCUUGCUUGCUCGUGAGGACAGUAAAUAUUACCCUGUCCGAGCUUUCCUACUCUGAAGUGCUGACAGGAAAGCUUUCCAGGUCAGAGUAUUUGAGAAACUGUAUAGAAAUGCUACAUUUAGACUGUAAUUACAAAGUGCUGUCCCUGUGACUGGAUCCAUAAGUCAGCACAGAGGACUGUCUGCAGUGGGAGGUGAUCUGCUGCUCAGUGUAUCCAGGGUUGCUAUAGACACUCCUGAAAAAGCAGAUUAAGACACUGAGAUUGGCGGAUCUCUCUGAGCCAUGUAAGAAACAAACAGAUUCUCUAUUGCUUGUGUCAGACACAGGUAACUGCAUUUCCUUGCACCCCAGCAGUCCUGGAAAGGCUGGUUCUGCCUGAUUCUGAGUCCCCUUUGGUUGCAGAGAGCCCUGUGGUCUCCCUCUCCCUGGGCUGCAGUGUGUUCUCCCAGCACUGUUCAUUGCAUUGCUCACGCUAGUGUUGUGGGAUGAAAGGAAUCAAUGUGUGUGGAGACUUCUUACAAAAAGAGGGAUUUUUUUCUCUUUGCCUGCUUUAUUUAAGACUUUAGGACUCUGCUUGAACUGCAGAGCAGAGGAAGUUGAGAUGAGUGCAGCAUCCAGUCCUCCCCCAUAAGCACCAGUAUUCCCCAGCUCAGAGUGGGCAUGCAGGGGACUCAAGAACACCAGCAUGAGGUGAGGUUCUCUGCAGAUGCCAUGGCAUGGGAAGUGUUGCUGUGGGCUGAGCUGUCUUUCCCUUUGGAUAAAGCAAUGACAUACCUCACCUUGCCCUUUGGUGUUCCUUAGGACACAGCAAUAGCUACGUGUGAUGUUUUUCUGGGUUGAGAUUUUUACUGUACUCUUAAAUGGCUUUUAUUUUUGGUCUCUGCAAAAAAAUUGACCCAAACUGAUUGAUGAUAUCCACAUGCAGAGGCUGCACAUCCAAAUCCUGCUGCUGGAAACAGCAGGCUCCACAAAUUCAGGUGGGGUUCUGGUUCAGAGACUCAGCUGCAAUUUUCCCAGUAGCAGAAGUCUCAGGGUUAGGAGUACCCAGUUUGUGCCACUCCAAAACAUCGAGCAAGAUUCUGUUAAAGGAAGAUACACAAACUUCUGUAUGCUGCCUUCCCCUGUUGGCCUUGGCUGAGCACCAGGAAUAUCACAAAGCAGGGACCAGGUUUUUCCAGUAUGCUGGUCUUGGCUUUUGGAUGGGGCUGGGAGACAUUUGCAAGAGAUGUGAGUGACUGUGUGUGUUGCUGACCUGCUUUUAUCAGAAAUGGACACAAAAAGGAGAAUGAAAAUGGACAGAUGGGGGAUGGAGCUGGCUGAGAGUGAACCCUCCUGACAGGAAACACCCCAAAGGCAAGCUGGCUUCUGGGGCUGUCCCUCUGCUCGGAGAGGCUCUUCCUCACUGCAUGCACAGAUGGAAUAAAAUUAAGAAAAAAUAACAUUUAAAAGAGGAAAAAAAUAAAGAAAAAAUAUAAUUAUAUAAAAGCUUUCCAGUACUGGAGCAUCAUCUGACCACAGGCUCCUUAGGGAGAAAUUUCCUGUACAAACCAGCCAUCAUUCAUUACAGCAGCUUUUAUUCUGUGCUUUGAAACAUUAUGUGUGGUCACCACUGGUUAACUAUGGCUAGAGGUAAUGCAGACUCCCUGCAACUUGUGCUUUCUUUGCAGGUUGCCCCCAAUUUUGCUUAAAAUCACCAAAAAAAAAAAAAAAAAAGCAAACCCAAAAAUAAUGUUAUGCUGGAGGAAAACAGCCAAUCUAGGACUAGAGAUCACAAAAAUCUAAUUUCAAAAAGCAGCACUUAGGCUCCGCAACUGCAGCAGAAGAGCUUUUUAUUUGAAAGUUGACAUUAAAAAGCUUGGCACCUAUGAAGUAUGUGCUUUCCUUUCCCACUCCAUAGUCUGAGAAAGACUAUGUCAUAGUUGAAAUACAAGCGCAUGUAUAUAUAUAUGAAUAUUUAAUUUGACAUUGAUGAAGCUUUAUGUAUUAAGUCCGUGAAAAUGCUGUUAAGCUCAUGGGAACAAUAAAAUUUUUGUAAUGAGCUGGGAAUUUGGUACUGCAAGUGCCCAAUGGUUAUCACUUAAUUUUGAUGUCAACCAUAGAGACAAACUACAAGCUAAAUUUAAUUCCAUCUUAUUGGGAAUGUUGUGGUCAAAUUGCAAAUAAAUGUUUAGCUUAUAGAUGAUAAUGGUUUAUCGGGGCUCCUCCCUUCUGGGAAAUGAAAGUCACAGAAAUUCAUGUAUAAACUGUCUCCCAAACUAGAGAUGAGAAGCUGUCUAUUUUGUAAAUAGUGAGGUUAAAUCAAGAUGCCUUUAUUUAGUUUUUACAUAUUCUCCUGGCAAAUUUUCUUACUGUAAGACAUGUUAAUCUAAAAUGAUGAUAUUCACAGCCCUUUAUAUGCUCAGUCUUUGUUUUAUGUCUCUAUAAUUUAGGCAGCCAUUUUGUGUUCAGUAAAAAAAUUAAAUAAAGAGGGGACAUCCACUGUGGGCUUUCUCCUGGAGACUUUGCCUCUGGA
Molecule: long non-coding RNA, 5147 nt
Organism: Pseudopipra pipra
Lineage: Eukaryota; Metazoa; Chordata; Aves; Passeriformes; Pipridae
Exons: 2
Source: RefSeq, a predicted model, not a curated record